CCUAAAUAAGUGCUUCUUUUUAGAAAUAGCUUGGAGAAAAUCAUUCAAUACCUCUUAUUUAUAGUUUUGUAAUGUUCUUUUUAAAUGCUUCUUACAAUAUCUUGAAAGUUAAGAUCUUUCAAGGAAAGAUUUUGAAAAGUGUCCUGGCCUGAAGUCUUCAUGUUUUAGAAAUCAAGUUUUUAAAACAUCUUAAAAAGCUGUGUCUUUAGUACUGGGUGCAAAAUUUAAACAUUGCCUGCAAUUCCGGAAUAACAAUAAUCCUAACGAUAGAUAUGAUUGAAAAAGUUGGCCAGGUUCAAAAGAGAAACUUCUUCGGGGGAAAAUGGCCAUCCCAUCGUUCUACAUCAACCGCCGGUUUUUCUUUAGGGUGAAGUGAGAGGCUUGAGGGCAGGGAAGCAUCCAAAGGGAAUUUCUCAGUUGGUAAUUUCCUAGCAGAGAGGUUGAGUUAGGUGCUUCUUCCUCGAUAUGGUUCGGAUCUGUGACCCAGUCCAAAUCUCAUGUUGAGUUGUAACCCCCAGGGUUGGAGGUGGGUGGGGUCUGGUGAGCGGUGAUUGGAUCGUGGGGACCGUUUCCCAUGGUCUAGCACCACCCUGCCUUGUUACUGACAUCCGGUUGUUUGAAGAUGCACGGCCCCCACACCCCCUUUCCUCUGCUUGCUACGGGUCUGGCCAUGUGAAGUGCCUGCUCCCGCUUCACCUUCCAUUACUUUCCUGAGGCCUUCCCAGCCAUGCUUCCUGGGCAGCCUGCAGAACUCCAGCACUUGAAGUUUCAAAAACGAGGAUCAAGCCGUUCCUGGGAGCAUCCUAUGAGACAUUUGGACACAGGUUUACUUGGAGUCUCGGAGAUAUGACGGAAUCUGGAAAAGUCAAAGGAAAAAAAGCCAAGGUUAAUGGAAUUCAAGAACAUAAAUUCAAGCAGGGACGAUAUAGUGAAAACACUACUAUCUCCAUAAGUCAGUCUUUUUAAUUGCCUAAAGUUUUAACCAAGUCCCGGAGCUUUGGCUAAUGAUGAAAGAGGUAACAGAACAAACUCAAGUCUCUUGUCGAGCAGAUGGAGCUGGUGGAUUCCAGGACACUCCCCAAGGGAGCCAGGGAUGACCAUCUACGGAUCUCAAAGUGGCAACAUUUGCAAACCAGGACCCAGGAGCCAAUUUAACAAAUGUCAGGGCAGCCUGCAGAGAGGAAUGGAAGGAAGAAACAUGCAUUCCACAUCUGGGAGUGUUUAGAAGUUGGAAACCGAUCAUUUAGAAGAAGACAGAGAGGAAUUCCCUUUAUUUCUCAAUCAAUAAAUCAUUGCCACAUAGUUUAA
Long non-coding RNA from Homo sapiens (human), 1308 nucleotides. RefSeq lists it as uncharacterized. NCBI's taxonomy places the organism in Eukaryota, Metazoa, Chordata, Mammalia, Primates, Hominidae. The transcript is spliced from 3 exons. The record is from RefSeq and is a predicted model, not a curated record.